Molecule: long non-coding RNA, 421 nt
Filed under: Lathyrus oleraceus (garden pea)
Lineage: Eukaryota; Viridiplantae; Streptophyta; Magnoliopsida; Fabales; Fabaceae
Description: Pisum sativum (pea) long non-coding RNA (PSAT_LNC037658)
Source: RNAcentral
CUCCUAUAACUUUGGCUCAUUGUGUAUUUCUAUCACCUUCCACAAUUUCGACUUUGCUUCUUGAUUUUGUAUCAUUUUUGCUCUAAAUUCUUUAAUCAUAGCCAUAGAAAAUGAAUUCCAUCCAGUAUUUAGAUUCUCUUCACACUAAUAAUAAAACCAUAACACUACUCUUUCAUCUUCCAUGCUCAAGAAUGUCCAUUGCAACUUAUCCUCAAAAUGAAUUUUGUUCUUCUCAAAGAAAAUUUCAACCAUAGAGAUCCAACCAACAAGAUCUGUCCCCAUAAAAUCUUGUAAUUCCCUUUUCAUACUCCAAACGUCUUCCAUCAGUGGCUCUCUGUGUAGUUAUUUAGCCGUUUCCGACAAUUAUCCAAAAGUUUCCGGCCGUUUUGGGCAGUUAUAUGGGAGUCAUCCACCAGUUUUG